This 706-nucleotide long non-coding RNA is filed under the name Equus caballus (horse). Its description in RNAcentral is "lncRNA (ENSECAG00000045221.1)". The record is from RNAcentral. Lineage: Eukaryota; Metazoa; Chordata; Mammalia; Perissodactyla; Equidae.
AUUCCCUGGACGCCAGGCAGCUGGGCGGUUUCCAGGAGCACCAAGGCUGCCACUUCUUCCUGGCUGGAUAGCUCUCCAGGGCUUACGAGAGAAAUCCCGGCUCCUCAGUCUGUGAGGCUCACCACAACACGAUCUACCCAGAGCUGGAUGCCGAGAAAAGUGGGAAGGACAUGGCAAGCACCAAAAAAUCAGAAGUGCUGGGUGCCUCGGCUCCAAGGGAAAGCAGGCCAUGUGAGUUGAAGACUACUUUUCAGUGGUACUCCAAAGGCAAACCUUUGAGAAGCCCGCUCAAGCUGAUUUCCAAGUCUCCUGUCUCAUCUUGAGCAGAUCUACCCGUGGUUAGAGGUAUUCUGAAGGAGAGAGAGAUGGGGCGAUAAGAGCACAAAAUGGGGGAGAAUCACGGGGGGUGGAGGAGGUCUUCUCGGAUGAAGCAAAGAAUGAGCUGAUUUCUAAGGGCUGAGCAGACACUAACAAGCUAAGGGACAGUGGGAAGAACCUUCCGGCAGAGGGGACAGCAAGAGCACAGGGCUCGAGGGGAGGGAGCACCACACACAGGAGCUGCAGGAAGCCAAUGUGGCUGGCCUGGGGUGGAGAGAGAAGAUGCUGGGGGAGGACCAGAGAGGCAGGAGGGGCCAGCCCAGGCCUGUCCCCUCCGCCAGUCGGGACCACCAAAGGGGGCGGCAGGUCCUGUUCACUUCUAGCCGUG